This 253-nucleotide ribosomal RNA is filed under the name uncultured bacterium. Its description in RNAcentral is "partial 16S ribosomal RNA". It matches the Rfam family "Bacterial small subunit ribosomal RNA", at positions 524 to 776 of the family's 1533-position model. The record is from RNAcentral.
UACGGAGGAUGCGAGCGUUAUCCGGAUUUAUUGGGUUUAAAGGGUGCGUAGGUUGUUUUUUAAGUCAGCGGUGAAAGUUUGUGGCUCAACCAUAAAAUUGCCGUUGAAACUGGAAGACUUGAGUGUGUUUGAGGUAGGCGGAAUGCGUGGUGUAGCGGUGAAAUGCAUAGAUAUCGAGAGGAACACUCGUGGCGAAGGCGGGUUCCUGGACAUUAACUGACGCUGAGGCACGAAGGCCAGGGGAGCGAAAGGG